This 2502-nucleotide long non-coding RNA is filed under the name Marmota monax (woodchuck). The record is from RNAcentral. Lineage: Eukaryota; Metazoa; Chordata; Mammalia; Rodentia; Sciuridae.
GACGAUGUCAUCAUUAUGUGCUCAGUUUUCUCAUCUCUAAAGAGGGGCCCAAAACAGGACCUAAGUCACAGGACACAGGGAGAAUUAAGAGCUUGCACAGUGACGCCCAGUGAAUGUUCCUCAUCAGUGUUGGUGCCUUUAAGAACACUGUAUUUGUCUAAGGUCAUUGCGCCCAAAAUGUGGAUGACAUUUCUCCUUGGUGUGUUCACACGCCACUGUAGACUAAAGUCACCAUCUGGGAGGAAGGGCUUUGGCAUUUUUCAAUUUCCAGAUGGUGUGCGGCAGUGGUCAGGCGCAGCGAGCUAAGAAUUCCUGCAGGCUUAGGGCUUUUUGAGGGGGUUUGGUCCGGGUUUGGGCUUGUUCUGUUCUGUUUUGCAGGACUGGGGCUGGAACCCAGGAGCGCGCUGCCACAGGACUGUAUCCUUGACCCUUUGGAAUUUUUACUUUGAGACUAGGUCCUGCCAAAUUGCUGUCACUGACUUCAAACUUUCGAUCCUUCUGCCUCAACCCCAUCCCCACCCCCACCCCAGUAGCUGGGAUCACAGAAAAAGCCCCAGGAGUGAAGCAGCCCAGGACAAAGGGCACUUAAGGUGAGCAUCGGCCAAUGGUCAAGUCACUUUCUAGAAGGAUUAUUCUAACCGAGAUGCCUCCUAGCAAUGCCAGUAAAGAAACUCUCACAACUGGUGCAGUCUGCUGGAAAGGUCCGGAGCAUCCGCCCUGGGGAGGUGUAAGUAGGUGUCCUGUGACUAUUCGCCAGGAGCUGCCAGGAUUGGUGCAAACUUGCCUCGGUUGAAGGUGAGGCUCAGGAACCCUUAAGGAGCCUUCAGAGUCUCUGGGACAGAGGCUAAAACUGAAAGUUCUGACUGUAGCCCCGUGCAGAGGCCCACACGUGUAAUCUGAGCCACUCAGGAGGCUGAGGCAGGAGGAUCACAAGUUGGAGACCAUCCUGGGCAACUUAGCAAGACCCAGUCUCAAAAUAAAAUCUACAAAGGGUUAAGGAUACAACCCAGUGGUAGAGAACUUGCCUAGCAUGUGCGAGACCCUGGGUUCAAUUCCCAGAACUACGAAAAUAAAAAGUCUUAUUUUCUUUCCUCUUUAAGUUCCCCUUCCUGCUUCUGCUUCUGCCAUCCCCAGGUUCCUGCGUGAUUUCUGGGGCAGGCGCCCACACCCUGGGCCUCUGAAGCAAGCAUGCUGAGCGUGGAGAGGCCCUGGCCUUACCUCUGAGGGAAGGAGGACGCCCGGCCUGGAGAGUGAGUGGAGGCUCAAGUGCCAUCUCUCAGACUGGAGUGCAAUCCCAUGUAGGCCACUUCCCAAAGCGUGCCCUGUGGACAGGCGGCUGCAUCUCCCUGAGGUCAGUUUCCCUUCUCAGUAAAAUGAGGUCAUUGUUGCCUCCCCCUGAAGGAUUUCGAUGGCAUGGGUGUGCACAGAAUAAAUGCUACUCUGCAAAAAGUGUAUUUUGAUUGACGUGGCCUUUGUUCAGAGGACAAGGACAGGCUCGGUCCAGAAGUGAUGUUGUAGGAAGCAGUCCACCCAAUGGGAUUCGAGGGUCCCUUUCCCACCUGCCAGCAAAUACAGCUCCCCUCUGUGGCUCUUCUCCUUGCCUAAGCAUUCACUAUUGGGGACUUCCUUGGACUGAGGCAGGUGACAAUCUGUGUUUUCCAAAUGUGGUCACACCUCGUCUCACAUUCUCUUCCUACCAUGUGACUUUGUCCGACCUUGCACGGAGAGGUAGGGUCCAUUUCCUCUCCUUGAAUCUGGGUGGGCAUGACUGUAGUGCAAGUGACAUGAUGGGAGCAUGUCACUUCCACAACUGAGUCAUAAAAUCCAUCAGAGCUUCUUUGUUGUUCUCUGAAACCUUUGUGCGGUCCCCUGUCGGCCAGUCUGCGCCCCCCCCCCCCAUCAGGCCACCAGGGACUAAGAGUCCCAGAAAUCAAAUCAGCUCCCACAGAGGGAUCCUGCGGAAAAGCACAGGACUAGAUGAAGGAGGACACAUCCCCAGGCAGCCCCCGGCCAUCUGCCCCAGCCCCAGCCACGGUGACCACACACACAGGAGGCAUCUGAGCCAGAACCACUAAGCUGAGCCCUUCGCAAGUUCAGGAGCCUCAGGGACACAGAUAACAAAAUGUUGUCAUGUCAGGUCCCUGUCUCUGGGGGUGGUAUGUUACGCAGCCCGAGGUGACUUAUACAAGCAUAGAACCCUUGUCUCCAAGGAAAGGAAAUCAGCAUUGUCCUCGGGGACGCCAGUCAGUCCGAUUCUUUAAUUCUCAGUGGUACAUUAAUGAGAACGAGAACAAGCUUCCAUUUAUUGGACUCUUUCACCCACCAGGCACUGCGGUGUGGGCUUUGCUCUGCGUAUAGAAUUUCAAAGAGCCCUCCCCACAGCCCAGUGAGCGAGGGCCCCAAAGUCCUGCUUUGUUCUCCGCUUCCAGAUGAGGAAACCCAGGCUCAGAGAGAGGACAUGACUUGUUCCCAGUCAAGUGGCUGGCAAACGGCAAAGCUGGG